UAGCGAGCCACCUCCCACCCGUGUUUACUGUACCUUAGUUGCUUCGGCGGGCCCGCCAUUCAUGGCCGCCGGGGGCUCUCAGCCCCGGGCCCGCGCCCGCCGGAGACACCACGAACUCUGUCUGAUCUAGUGAAGUCUGAGUUGAUUGUAUCGCAAUCAGUUAAAACUUUCAACAAUGGAUCUCUUGGUUCCGGCAUCGAUGAAGAACGCAGCGAAAUGCGAUAACUAGUGUGAAUUGCAGAAUUCCGUGAAUCAUCGAGUCUUUGAACGCACAUUGCGCCCCCUGGUAUUCCGGGGGGCAUGCCUGUCCGAGCGUCAUUGCUGCCCAUCAAGCACGGCUUGUGUGUUGGGUCGUCGUCCCCUCUCCGGGGGAGACGGGCCACAAAGGCAGCGGCGGCACCGCGUCCGAUCCUCGAGCGUAUGGGGCUUUGUCACCCGCUCUGUAGGCCCGGCCGGCGCUUGCCGAACGCAAAUCAAUCUUUUUCCAGGUUGACCUCGGAUCAGGUAGGGAUACCCGCUGAACUUAAG
RNAcentral lists this ribosomal RNA (528 nucleotides) under Aspergillus flavus. RNAcentral describes it as "eukaryotic LSU rRNA". The stretch from base 165 to 318 matches the Rfam family "5.8S ribosomal RNA". The record is from RNAcentral. Lineage: Eukaryota; Fungi; Ascomycota; Eurotiomycetes; Eurotiales; Aspergillaceae.